Molecule: ribosomal RNA, 476 nt
Filed under: Diutina rugosa
Lineage: Eukaryota; Fungi; Ascomycota; Pichiomycetes; Serinales; Debaryomycetaceae
Description: eukaryotic LSU rRNA
Rfam family: Eukaryotic large subunit ribosomal RNA
Source: RNAcentral
GCCUCAGUAACGGCGAGUGAAGCGGCAACAGCUCAAAUUUGAAAGCCCGCGGGCGUUGUAAUUUGCAGGCGGAUGUUUUGGGGCGGGCGCUGUCUACGUUCCUUGGAACAGGACGCCGCAGAGGGUGAGAGCCCCGUGCGAUGGCGCCUCUAACCGCGUAAAACUCCGCCGACGAGUCGAGUUGUUUGGGAAUGCAGCUCCAAGUGGGUGGUAAAUUCCAUCUAAAGCUAAAUACUGGCGAGAGACCGAUAGCGAACAAGUACAGUGAUGGAAAGAUGAAAAGCACUUUGAAAAGAGAGUGAAACAGCACGUGAAAUUGUUGAAAGGGAAGGGUAUGCGAUUAGCGGCCAGCAGGAGGUGCCUUCUCGUGAAAAGGCCGUGCACCGUCUUCGGACACCGUGCGCGGAGAUGGCGAGGGGGCGCCUGAGGUCUGCGAACUCGAGGUUGCUGGCGUAAUGAUUGCAUACCACCCGUCU